This 75-nucleotide transfer RNA is filed under the name Methanosarcina sp. 1.H.A.2.2. Its description in RNAcentral is "tRNA-Val". Lineage: Archaea; Methanobacteriati; Methanobacteriota; Methanomicrobia; Methanosarcinales; Methanosarcinaceae. The record is from RNAcentral.
GGGCUCUUUUUCUAAAUCGGAGGGCAAAUAGCCUUCACACGGCGGAGGUCCUGAGUUCGAAUCUCAGCGGGCCCA